AAGCAAGAUGGUCCAAUUGAGACUGAAGAGGCGACAAAAAUAUAUGUAUGUGACAUCAACCCAAAUAUGCUGAAUGUUGGGAAGAAGCGUGCUAUUGAGAGAGGGCUCGGUGAAGACCAAAGCCUUUGUUGGGUACAGGGUGAUGCAGAAGCUUUGAGUUUUGAAGAAGGGUCUAUGGAUGGUUACACUAUUGCCUUUGGAAUCAGAAACGUA
This 213-nucleotide unclassified non-coding RNA is filed under the name Hevea brasiliensis (rubber tree). Lineage: Eukaryota; Viridiplantae; Streptophyta; Magnoliopsida; Malpighiales; Euphorbiaceae. The record is from RNAcentral.